CUCGUUGGUGACCAGCGGAGGGAUCAUUAAAGGGUAUAGCUUUGGCUAUAAACCCCCUAAACCAUUGUGAAUUAUACCUAUAACUCUUAUAAUUGUAAUCUCUGAGUAACUUUAAUAAGUUAAAACUUUCAACAACGGAUCUCUUGGUUCUGGCAUCGAUGAAGAACGCAGCGAAAUGCGAUAAGUAAUGUGAAUUGCAGAAUUCAGUGAAUCAUCGAAUCUUUGAACGCACAUUGCGCCCGUCAGUAUUCUGGCGGGCAUGCCUGUUCGAGCGUCAUUUCAACCAUCAAGCCUCAGGCUUGUGUUGGGGCCCUGCGGCUGCCGCAGUCCCCUAAAAGCAGUGGCGGACUCGCUGUCAUACCGAGCGCAGUAACACAUCUCGCUCAGGGCGUGGCGACGAGCACUGGCCGUUAAACACUCCACUAAGGUUGACCUCGGAUCAGGUAGGAAUACCCGCUGAACUUAAGCAUAUCAAUAAGCGGAGGA
This 486-nucleotide ribosomal RNA is filed under the name uncultured Sordariales. RNAcentral describes it as "eukaryotic LSU rRNA". The stretch from base 124 to 277 matches the Rfam family "5.8S ribosomal RNA". The record is from RNAcentral. Lineage: Eukaryota; Fungi; Ascomycota; Sordariomycetes; Sordariales.